CUUUUAGAUGGCGACCGGCGCACGGGUGAGUAACACGUAUCCAACCUGCCGAUGACUCGGGGAUAGCCUUUCGAAAGAAAGAUUAAUACCCGAUGGCAUAGUUCUUCCGCAUGGUAGAACUAUUAAAGAAUUUCGGUCAUCGAUGGGGAUGCGUUCCAUUAGCUUGUUGGCGGGGUAACGGCCCACCAAGGCAUCGAUGGAUAGGGGUUCUGAGAGGAAGGUCCCCCACAUUGGAACUGAGACACGGUCCAAACUCCUACGGGAGGCAGCAG
This 272-nucleotide ribosomal RNA is filed under the name uncultured bacterium. Its description in RNAcentral is "partial 16S ribosomal RNA". It matches the Rfam family "Bacterial small subunit ribosomal RNA", at positions 81 to 354 of the family's 1533-position model. The record is from RNAcentral.